AGUUUAUUGUGUUUGAGGUUGGAAUCACCAAGAGACCAAUUAACACCUUAUUUUUAGGAUUAGCCAUUCUGGUAUUUGCAGAUAGUUUCUUAAGCAGGACUGUUUGGAGUUCACACUGUAGGAGUAACUGAAGUGUUGAUAAAAGAGAUUCCAGAACAAAUAGAGAUUUCUACAGUAAAAGCUGGGGAGGUGUGUAGGGCUCCAGUCUUUGGGUUCACAGCUUGGCUCUACAUUCAUUGCUGGAGGAAUCCAAGCCUCACAAAAGACCACUUUUAAAGAAAAAACUCUUUUUUUCUUAGAAGAACUAGAAUAUGUAACACCGUUGUGAGAAAUAAAACCCCAAGGUGAACAAGAUUGAAAGUGAAGGCAGCACUCUAAGGAGGAAGCAAGCUGACUUGAAUGGUGAUGUAAGCAGCCUUGGAGCUUUAACCAAUCUUGAGUAAGAACUCCCUGACUUGGAAACACUCAAGUAUCCCACACGUGACUGGAUGGCCCUCGCCACACUGGGAACGGAAUGGGGGCCUCCCAUUGGAACUCGGGGUGGAGGCGGAAGCUCCACCAGCUAUUGU
Molecule: long non-coding RNA, 569 nt
Organism: Mandrillus leucophaeus (drill)
Lineage: Eukaryota; Metazoa; Chordata; Mammalia; Primates; Cercopithecidae
Exons: 3
Source: RefSeq, a predicted model, not a curated record